AGCGUUUGAUCCUGGCUCAGGAUGAACGCUAGCUACAGGCUUAACACAUGCAAGUCGAGGGGAAACGACAUCGAAAGCUUGCUUUUGAUGGGCGUCGACCGGCGCACGGGUGAGUAACGCGUAUCCAACCUGCCCAUCACUUGGGGAUAACCUUGCGAAAGUAAGACUAAUACCCAAUGACGUCUCUAGAAGACAUCUGAAAGAGAUUAAAGAUUUAUCGGUGAUGGAUGGGGAUGCGUCUGAUUAGCUUGUUGGCGGGGUAACGGCCACCAAGGCGACGAUCAGUAGGGGUUCUGAGAGGAGGUCCCCACACUUGGAACUGAGACACGGUCCAAACGUCCUACGGGAGGCGA
RNAcentral lists this ribosomal RNA (353 nucleotides) under uncultured bacterium. RNAcentral's name for it is "bacterial SSU rRNA". It matches the Rfam family "Bacterial small subunit ribosomal RNA", at positions 8 to 351 of the family's 1533-position model. The record is from RNAcentral.